CAGUUCUGAGGUGUCUUGGUAUCCCAACUCGGAGCGUAACAAAUUUCCCAGUCCGCCCACGACACUGAUGUCUCCUUGACCACUGAUGUGUAUUUUGACGAGAAUAUGGAGCCAAUUAACUCCCUCAACUCCGAUUCCGUGUGGAACUUCCAUGUGUGGAACGACUGCUGGAUGGCUCGUCCUGAUUUGCCACCCGGUAUGGGAGGCUGGCAGGCUGUUGACUCGACCCCCCAGGAAACCAGUCAGGGGACGUUCCGCUGUGGCCCCGCCUCCAUCAUGGCAAUCCGCACGGGCCAGGUUACUUGAAGCACGACACACCUUUUGUCUUCGCUGAGGUGAACAGCGAUAAGAUCUACUGGCAGAGGAACCUGGAUGGCACUUUCUCUCAGAUUCACAUAGAGAAGAACGCUGUGGGACGCUGCAUUAGCACCAAGGCUGUUGGCUCUGAUCAGCGUAGUGACAUCACACACCUGUACAAA
This is a long non-coding RNA of Ictalurus punctatus (channel catfish), 479 nucleotides long. The record is from Ensembl. Lineage: Eukaryota; Metazoa; Chordata; Actinopteri; Siluriformes; Ictaluridae.